GACGAACGCUGGCGGCGUGCCUAAUACAUGCAAGUCGAGCGGACCAAAGGGAGCUUGCUCCUGGAGGUUAGCGGCGAACGGGUGAGUAACACGUGGGCAACCUGCCUGUAAGACUGGGAUAACAUCGAGAAAUCGGUGCUAAUACCGGAUAAUAAAAAGAACUGCAUGGUUCUUUUUUGAAAGAUGGUUUCGGCUAUCACUUACAGAUGGGCCCGCGGCGCAUUAGCUAGUUGGUGGGGUAACGGCUCACCAAGGCGACGAUGCGUAGCCGACCUGAGAGGGUGAUCGGCCACACUGGGACUGAGACACGGCCCAGACUCCUACGGGAGGCAGCAGUAGGGAAUCUUCCGCAAUGGACGAAAGUCUGACGGAGCAACGCCGCGUGAGUGAUGAAGGUUUUCGGAUCGUAAAACUCUGUUGUUAGGGAAGAACAAGUGCCGUUCGAAAGGGCGGCACCUUGACGGUACCUAACGAGAAAGCCACGGCUAACUACGUAGCCAGCAGCCGCGGUAAAGUAUACG
RNAcentral lists this ribosomal RNA (521 nucleotides) under uncultured bacterium. RNAcentral's name for it is "bacterial SSU rRNA". It matches the Rfam family "Bacterial small subunit ribosomal RNA", at positions 28 to 531 of the family's 1533-position model. The record is from RNAcentral.